Molecule: long non-coding RNA, 235 nt
Organism: Phalaenopsis equestris
Lineage: Eukaryota; Viridiplantae; Streptophyta; Magnoliopsida; Asparagales; Orchidaceae
Exons: 4
Source: RefSeq, a predicted model, not a curated record
AGAUAAACAAGAGGCACAAAAAUACUCAAAGUAUAUAUCAUCUUUCUGUAAAAGGUUAUUGGAAGAUACAAAAGAUGAGCUCGUUGAAUUGAUAAAAAGAAGCGUUUUAAGACCGGGACAAAUUGGGAAGGCCCUUUGCCAGGACCUUAGUAGUCAUUGUGAUGAAAGUGAUGACUUUGAUGAUGACUAUAUGGAUGAGGAGCUGUGAUGGGAUUCAACAUCAUAUAUUUAUCUU